AUUGAACGCUGGCGGCAUGCCUUACACAUGCAAGUCGAACGGCAGCACGGGUGCUUGCACCUGGUGGCGAGUGGCGAACGGGUGAGUAAUACAUCGGAACAUGUCCUGUAGUGGGGGAUAGCCCGGCGAAAGCCGGAUUAAUACCGCAUACGAUCCACGGAUGAAAGCGGGGGACCUUCGGGCCUCGCGCUAUAGGGUUGGCCGAUGGCUGAUUAGCUAGUUGGUGGGGUAAAGGCCUACCAAGGCGACGAUCAGUAGCUGGUCUGAGAGGACGACCAGCCACACUGGGACUAAGACACGGCCCAGACUCCUACGGGAGGCAGCAGUGGGGAAUUUUGGACAAUGGGCGAAAGCCUGAUCCAGCAAUGCCGCGUGUGUGAAGAAGGCCUUCGGGUUGUAAAGCACUUUUGUCCGGAAAGAAAUCCUUGGCUCUAAUACAGUCGGGGGAUGACGGUACCGGAAGAAUAAGCACCGGCUAACUACGUG
This 486-nucleotide ribosomal RNA is filed under the name uncultured bacterium. Its description in RNAcentral is "partial 16S ribosomal RNA". It matches the Rfam family "Bacterial small subunit ribosomal RNA", at positions 30 to 507 of the family's 1533-position model. The record is from RNAcentral.